ACACUAUCGGCUCUAUUCCGAUGAGCUCCUUCCAUUUUUACUCUUCAAUUUGUCGCACACCAUUUCUUUAAGAAACUUUAAUCGCCGACGAACACAACAACCCAACAUCUUCACCUUCGACACACAACGACGCCGUCUCUCGCACACUCCGGCGACACCCCAGAUCCAAUCCCUUCCGCUUAUAUUCCCGUUUGCCGGCACGAUUU
This 206-nucleotide long non-coding RNA is filed under the name Lathyrus oleraceus (garden pea). RNAcentral describes it as "Pisum sativum (pea) long non-coding RNA (PSAT_LNC038499)". The record is from RNAcentral. Lineage: Eukaryota; Viridiplantae; Streptophyta; Magnoliopsida; Fabales; Fabaceae.